Molecule: long non-coding RNA, 3631 nt
Organism: Artibeus jamaicensis (Jamaican fruit-eating bat)
Lineage: Eukaryota; Metazoa; Chordata; Mammalia; Chiroptera; Phyllostomidae
Exons: 4
Source: RefSeq, a predicted model, not a curated record
CGUAGCAGAGCACAGAAAGGCAGCUGCAAGCCUACAAAUAAAUAGGUAAAUUAUGGGCCCAGGCCCAUCAAAGGGGGAUUUCAAAAAGGGCCUCCUGGAUCACCAGGGCUUCAAAGAAAGUGGUGGAAUUUGAAAGGGAGACGGGCGAUCAGUAUAUUGGCAAGAGCCGGAAGGAUCGAGGAUCAAUGGGUUGGAGGAUCCACAAACAGUCAUGUAGGAGAGCAGGCACCCUUUUUCGUAGGUGUGAGCCCUGCAUGCUAACGUCCAUCUUGGAAUCCUUCUGGGGGGUCUCAAACUGCAAUAUACCCUGAAGAACCCAAAGCAGAGAGGAGUCCUGUGCCCCCAACUCCAAGGAGCUUCCCUAUUAGUCUUGCAUCGUUUGCACCCGGAUUGUGAUAAGAGAACGGAAUAAACUGCUCUUCACUCAAGGUGCUCCUAUUUGCGGUCUCUGUCAUCGCAGCAGGAAGUGUACCCGAAGCACCUGGGGAGGCUGCGGAGUGGCGAUUUGCACUGAGCAGGCUUCAACUGCCUCAUCUCUAGCACAGAACUAAGCUAUUUGAAAGUUUCUUGCUCCUCCUACAUCAGAAAGUUGCACAAGGCCAAAUUGAGCCCAGAUGAAGGGCUUUGGAAGGUCAACAGCGCUGUCUAAACACAUGAGGAGAAAAUCGGGGGCAGUAGGAAGGAGCAGCUACGUGCAGGCUGUGGGUCCAGACACCUGAGCUGGAGCACCAGGUGGACCACUCAACAGCGGCGGGAGUUACCGAACCUCUCAGAGGAUCUGUUUCCUCAUCUCUCCAUGGGACCAGCGGUCAUUGUGAGGAUUAGAUGAGUGAAUGCCAAUGUGUAGUGUUUAGAACAGUGCCUGGCACAUAGUAGGUGCUCAGGAACUUUAUAGCCAUGCCAACAAUUCAUUGCAGUAGGAACUAGUGAAUAGUUGGGCAACACUUUCUGGUCACCAGGUCAUGAGCUGGGGCUGGGACCAGCUUGCUCCUCCCUCUCUGAUGGCUCACCCCAGGGUAGGUUUAGCUUCCCCAGUCAGGGUCCCAGGAGUGACCCUCCCAAUGAUCUGUCUGGGCACUUUUCUCCUAGUUCAAGCCUUUGAAGAAGAAAAUCCUCCUGGGGAGGGAGCCCUUCUCACUGAGGUGCUAAGAAUUUAUCAGAUUUUGGCAGGAAGGGAGGAGACAUUUAGUGGCUCUGACCUGAAAGGAGAGAAAAAAGAAGGGAAGGGAGAAAGAGGAGAAGCAAAGUGCUGCAAAAGGCGCAAAGGGAAUUCGUGAGACACAAAGACCAGCCCCUGCCCCCUCCUCCCCCUGCCCCCCACCCCCGCAGGCAUGUGCUCCAUCUUCCCUCAAUUGUAGCCAGGUCAGUGGAGUCAGCCAGGCCGACCUCAGUUUCCAUGCCUGUAAAAUGGGAAUAAUAACCUCUCGAUUCAGGGAGAUUAAAUGCAACACAAUAAUGUAUCUGUAGAGCCUGUCGGAGCGCCUGGCACGAAACCUGAAAGCAGCAUAUGGUCCCGAAAAACAAAACCAAGGGACGUUUCUCCAAAGAAGACAUGUAAAUGGCUAAUAAACACAUGAGAAGAUGCUCGACAUCACUAAUCAUUAGGAAAAUGCAAAUCAGAACCACAAUAUCACCUCAUACCCAUUAGGAUGGCUGCUUUUUAAAAACCAGAAAAUAAUAAGUGUUGGCAACAAUGUGGAGAAAGUGGAUCCUGUGUGCGCUGCCGGCAGGAACGUAAAACGGCGCAGCCCCUGUGGAAAGCAGUGUGGCGUGUCCCUGAAAACAUUAAACAGAGAAUUAGCAUGUUAGGCAAUGAUCCUGCAAUUCCGUUUCUGGGUACAUACCCGGAAGAAAUGAGAGCAGGAACGUGAAGAGAUAUUUGCACACUCAUGCUCGUGGUGGCAUUAUUCACAGCAGCCAAAAGGUGGAAGCAACCAAGUGUCCACUGAUGGACAAUGGAAAAGCACAAUGUGGUGUAUACACACCGUGGGACAUUACUGAGCCGCAGAGAGGAAGAGUCUGACAAAAGCUAUAGCAGGGAUGAGCCUCGAAGACGUUAUGGAAGUGAAAUCAGCCAGUUAAAAUCAUCAGGGUAGAAUGGAGGUUUGUGGGGGGCUUUGCAGGGGGCAGUAGGGAGCCAGUGUUCAGUGGGCACAGGGCUUCGUUUGGGGAAGAUGAGCAGCUCCUGGAGAUGGGCUGCAGAACAUUGGCCAUGGACUCGCUGCCACAGGACCGAGCACCGCAGAUGAUUAAAACGGUGCAUUUUAUACCACGUGUAUUUUGUCACAAAAAAGGAACAAAACAAAAUGAAACCAAGGAGCUCAUAAAAACAAUAGUAUUAUUAACCACAAUUACCAUCAUGAAAGUAGGUUCUGUUUAUUUUCCUGACACUCUUUUCCUCUGGAGCCCAGCACUGUGCCUGGCUCUCAAGACAGGAAAUCUUCACACAAAACAAACCCCAAAAACACGAACUGGAGGGAUAAAACCGCAGGCUGGUUGUAAGAUCUCCUCCUCUCUGUCUUCCUUUUCCAUUUCCUUCUGGGAGAGAGGUCCUGCGUCUUCUCACCGUUUUAUUUCCAGGGCCGAGGACAGUGCCAGCUUAUUAGAGGGUUUUUUGUUUGUUUGUUUGUUUUGUUUUCCAAUGACUAAAUGACAAAGGCUAUUCUCAGGAAAACUUGCCUCGGUAUCGAUUUGGAUUAUAUCAACACUGGGGAGCAAUGGAGAAGUGAAUAGGAAAGACAGCUCCUCUCUCCUAGGGGUGGGGGUCACAGCUAUCUCCAUGUGUAGGGAUACAGCCCAUUAGGUGAAACUCGGCAGCUUUGGAGCCAGGACUUGGUGAGAGGUCGGCAAGAUUCUCACCCCUUUCUAGAAAUGCUGAGUCCUUAUUCACUAACCAGAAAAGCAGACAAGUGUCCUCUCCAGGAUCCAAGUCACUUCCAAAAGGACUGAUUUCAUUUCCUUUGAGUUACAUAAGAGGCUUUCCUGGCCCUUCAUCUUAUUGAUUGAACAUUCCUUUGAAAUGUUCUAAUUCUGGGAUACACAAGAGUCACUUCUUGGUAGAGCAAGAUUUAUGUCAGGGUUUAAGACCUGGUGUGUUAAAACCUUUGGGGACUGGAAUGAAAGACCUGUUUGCCUGUUUGGCUUGUUCUCACAGAGUAUUUGGAGCCACUGGGGCUCUUUCUCAUCUUACAGACCGUGCGCCUCAUCUUUGGAGUGAAAGCAGAAGCAAGAAGACAGAACUGCGCUCUUUGACCCAAUUGACCAGGGCAGCAGGUGGGCUUCUUGUCACCUCACUUCAGCCUUCAGAGGACCUGUGCACGGUCACGCCAACUCUCACUACCAUCCUAGGCACACCAGGCUGGCCAAUUGUGUUAGUUAGCUUUUGCUAUGUAACAAAUGCCCCCAAAAGUUGGUGGUUUAAAACCACAGCUAUUUAUUUAGCUCUUGAGACUCAGUGUGACUGGUUAUUUCUCUGGGCCAGGUAGGACUUAGGGCUGCUGGGUUUAUGCAUCUGUGGUCAGCUGCUGGGUGGCUUGGGGGCUAGCCAGUCUAGGACAGCUGCAGCUGGGUUGGCCCCCCUCUGGUCUAUGCAGCCUCCCACCCUCCAACAGGCUUGCCCAGUCUAGGCCUU